Molecule: ribosomal RNA, 469 nt
Filed under: uncultured bacterium
Lineage: Bacteria
Description: partial 16S ribosomal RNA
Rfam family: Bacterial small subunit ribosomal RNA
Source: RNAcentral
GACGAACGCUGGCGGCGUGCUUAACACAUGCAAGUCGAACGGAAAGGCCCUGCUUGCAGGGUGCUCGAGUGGCGAACGGGUGAGUAACACGUGGGUGAUCUGCCCCUUAUUUUGGGAUAAGCCUGGGAAACUGGGUCUAAUACUGGAUAGGACCAUGCUGUAGGUGGUGUGGUGGAAAGAUUAGUUUCGGUAAGGGAUGAGCUCGCGGCCUAUCAGCUUGUUGGUGGGGUAAUGGCCUACCAAGGCGUCGACGGGUAGCCGGCCUGAGAGGGUGGACGGCCACAUUGGGACUGAGAUACGGCCCAGACUCCUACGGGAGGCAGCAGAGGGGAAUAUUGCACAAUGGGCGCAAGCCUGAUGCAGCGACGCCGCGUGGGGGAUGACGGCCUUCGGGUUGUAAACUCCUUUCAGCCAUGACGAAGCCCUUGUGGUGACGGUAGUGGUAGAAGAAGCACCGGCUAACUACGUA